GACAACAGAACCUAUGAUGAAAUGAGUCUGAUUCAGGAUGACAUUGACCUCCGUGACACUCGGAGGCACUGUGACAAGGGGAACCUGCGUGUCAAGCCCCGUCAGGGCACAGCAGUCUUCUGGUACAACUACCUGCCUGAUGGGCAAGGUUGGGUGGGCGAUGUGGACGACUACUCGCUGCACGGGGGCUGCCUGGUCACACGCGGAACUAAAUGGAUUGCCAACAACUGGAUCAACGUGGACCCCAGCCGGGCGCGGCAGGCGCUCUUCCAGCAGGAGAUGGCGCGCCUGGCCCGCGAAGGUGGCGCCGACUCGCAGCCGGAGUGGGCCCUGGACAGGGCCUACCGCAACGCGCGUGUGGAGCUCUGAGGGGAGUGUCCACCCUGAGGUCGGGGCCCUGCCGUCCCUCUGUCUAGCCGCAGGUCAAAGGCCUGGCCAUUGUCUUGCCCCAUCCCUGCCUCCAGCCACGAUUAGGACAUAGCUCCUAUAUCAAUGUUAUUUAUUGUGUACAGACCUAUG
This 519-nucleotide long non-coding RNA is filed under the name Sus scrofa (pig). RNAcentral's name for it is "lncRNA (ENSSSCG00030038810.1)". The record is from RNAcentral. Lineage: Eukaryota; Metazoa; Chordata; Mammalia; Artiodactyla; Suidae.